Molecule: ribosomal RNA, 1528 nt
Filed under: Klebsiella aerogenes UCI 15
Lineage: Bacteria; Pseudomonadati; Pseudomonadota; Gammaproteobacteria; Enterobacterales; Enterobacteriaceae
Description: bacterial SSU rRNA
Rfam family: Bacterial small subunit ribosomal RNA
Source: RNAcentral
AGAGUUUGAUCAUGGCUCAGAUUGAACGCUGGCGGCAGGCCUAACACAUGCAAGUCGAGCGGUAACACAGAGAGCUUGCUCUCGGGUGACGAGCGGCGGACGGGUGAGUAAUGUCUGGGAAACUGCCUGAUGGAGGGGGAUAACUACUGGAAACGGUAGCUAAUACCGCAUAACGUCGCAAGACCAAAGUGGGGGACCUUCGGGCCUCAUGCCAUCAGAUGUGCCCAGAUGGGAUUAGCUAGUAGGUGGGGUAAUGGCUCACCUAGGCGACGAUCCCUAGCUGGUCUGAGAGGAUGACCAGCCACACUGGAACUGAGACACGGUCCAGACUCCUACGGGAGGCAGCAGUGGGGAAUAUUGCACAAUGGGCGCAAGCCUGAUGCAGCCAUGCCGCGUGUAUGAAGAAGGCCUUCGGGUUGUAAAGUACUUUCAGCGAGGAGGAAGGCGUUAAGGUUAAUAACCUUGGCGAUUGACGUUACUCGCAGAAGAAGCACCGGCUAACUCCGUGCCAGCAGCCGCGGUAAUACGGAGGGUGCAAGCGUUAAUCGGAAUUACUGGGCGUAAAGCGCACGCAGGCGGUCUGUCAAGUCGGAUGUGAAAUCCCCAGGCUCAACCUGGGAACUGCAUUCGAAACUGGCAGGCUAGAGUCUUGUAGAGGGGGGUAGAAUUCCAGGUGUAGCGGUGAAAUGCGUAGAGAUCUGGAGGAAUACCGGUGGCGAAGGCGGCCCCCUGGACAAAGACUGACGCUCAGGUGCGAAAGCGUGGGGAGCAAACAGGAUUAGAUACCCUGGUAGUCCACGCCGUAAACGAUGUCGACUUGGAGGUUGUGCCCUUGAGGCGUGGCUUCCGGAGCUAACGCGUUAAGUCGACCGCCUGGGGAGUACGGCCGCAAGGUUAAAACUCAAAUGAAUUGACGGGGGCCCGCACAAGCGGUGGAGCAUGUGGUUUAAUUCGAUGCAACGCGAAGAACCUUACCUACUCUUGACAUCCAGAGAACUUAGCAGAGAUGCUUUGGUGCCUUCGGGAACUCUGAGACAGGUGCUGCAUGGCUGUCGUCAGCUCGUGUUGUGAAAUGUUGGGUUAAGUCCCGCAACGAGCGCAACCCUUAUCCUUUGUUGCCAGCGGUCCGGCCGGGAACUCAAAGGAGACUGCCAGUGAUAAACUGGAGGAAGGUGGGGAUGACGUCAAGUCAUCAUGGCCCUUACGAGUAGGGCUACACACGUGCUACAAUGGCAUAUACAAAGAGAAGCGACCUCGCGAGAGCAAGCGGACCUCAUAAAGUAUGUCGUAGUCCGGAUUGGAGUCUGCAACUCGACUCCAUGAAGUCGGAAUCGCUAGUAAUCGUAGAUCAGAAUGCUACGGUGAAUACGUUCCCGGGCCUUGUACACACCGCCCGUCACACCAUGGGAGUGGGUUGCAAAAGAAGUAGGUAGCUUAACCUUCGGGAGGGCGCUUACCACUUUGUGAUUCAUGACUGGGGUGAAGUCGUAACAAGGUAACCGUAGGGGAACCUGCGGUUGGAUCACCU